GUCGUCGUGGCCGAGUGGUUAAGGCGACAGACUAGAAAUCUGUUGGGCUCUGCCCGCAUAGGUUCGAAUCCUGUCGGCGACG
Molecule: non-coding RNA, 82 nt
Organism: Ciona savignyi (Pacific transparent sea squirt)
Lineage: Eukaryota; Metazoa; Chordata; Ascidiacea; Phlebobranchia; Cionidae
Source: Rfam